UGGUAGGAAAAGUCGGAAAAAGAUAUUUUUUGGCCUCCGGAGCCAAAGGCCGCAGGUUCGAAUCCUGCAUUGCCCACCA
This 79-nucleotide transfer RNA is filed under the name Desulfonatronum thiosulfatophilum. Its description in RNAcentral is "tRNA_Arg_CCG". The stretch from base 6 to 76 matches the Rfam family "tRNA". From Rfam's summary of the family: Transfer RNA (tRNA) molecules are approximately 80 nucleotides in length. Their secondary structure includes four short double-helical elements and three loops (D, anti-codon, and T loops). The record is from RNAcentral. Lineage: Bacteria; Pseudomonadati; Thermodesulfobacteriota; Desulfovibrionia; Desulfovibrionales; Desulfonatronaceae.